RNAcentral lists this transfer RNA (54 nucleotides) under Cnemaspis nuicamensis. RNAcentral describes it as "partial tRNA-Ala". Lineage: Eukaryota; Metazoa; Chordata; Lepidosauria; Squamata; Gekkonidae. The record is from RNAcentral.
UAUUAAAGUGUCUGAGUUGCAAUUAGAUGAUGUGGGCGCAGCUUGCAGGUCUUC